GGUUAGCCGGGAGCUAAGGUGAGGCCGAAAGGCGUAGCCGAUGCACAUACGGUGGAGAUUCCGUAGCCGUCGAAAUAUUUAAGCAAAGGGACACUUAUGAAGGACAUGACCCGGGCGAUGGUAGCCCCGGGCGUAAGGGACUGAAAACAAGUAAGGAAGCAUGUUUGGAUUAAGGCGAGAAAAGCUUUGUGUAUAUAUGAGACGUCCGUACCGCAAACCGACACAGGUAGUCAGGAAGAGGAUUCUAAGGCCAACGGGAGAAGGGUAGUUAAGGAACUCGGCAAAUUGACCCCGUAACUUCGGGAUAAGGGGCGGUGCGUAAGCACCCGCAGUGAAUAGGUCCAGGCGACUGUUUAUCAAAAACACAGCUCUCUGCUAAAUCGAAAGAUGACGUAUAGGGGGUGACACCUGCCCGGUGCUGGAAGGUUAAGAGGAGGAGUGCAAGCUCCGAAUUGAAGCCCCAGUAAACGGCGGCCGUAACUAUAACGGUCCUAAGGUAGCGAAAUUCCUUGUCGGGUAAGUUCCGACCCGCACGAAUGGUGUAACGAUCUGGACGCUGUCUCAACUGCCCACCCGGCGAAAUUGUAGUACCGGUGAAGAUGCCGGUUACCCGCGGCAAGACGGAAAGACCCCAUGGAGCUUUACUGUAACUUGAUAUUGGGUCUUGGUAUUCUAUGUACAGGAUAGGCGGGAGACUAUGAAACAUACACGCCAGUGUAUGCGGAGUCACCCUUGGGAUACCGCUCUUAGAGUACUGAGAUUCUAACCUGCGGCCGUGAAUCCGGUCGGGGGACAUUGUCAGGUGGGCAGUUUGACUGGGGCGGUCGCCUCCUAAAAGGUAACGGAGGCGCUCAAAGGUUAGCUCAGCACGGUCGGAAACCGUGCCUCUGAGUGCAAACGCAAAAGCUAGCCUAACUGCGAGGCUGACGGGCCGAGCAGUAACGAAAGUUGGAGUUAGUGAUCCGGCGGUAUGUGAAUGGAAAUGCCGUCGCUCAACGGAUAAAAGCUACCCUGGGGAUAACAGGCUGAUCUCCCCCA
Molecule: ribosomal RNA, 1038 nt
Filed under: human gut metagenome
Description: bacterial LSU rRNA
Rfam family: Bacterial large subunit ribosomal RNA
Source: RNAcentral